GUGUCAGCAGCCGCGGUAAUACGUAGGGUGCGAGCGUUAAUCGGAAUUACUGGGCGUAAAGCGUGCGCAGGCGGUUUCGUAAGCUGGAGGUGAAAUCCCCGGGCUUAACCUGGGAAUGGCCUUCAGGACUGCGAGGCUAGAGUGCGGCAGAGGGAGGUGGAAUUCCACGUGUAGCAGUGAAAUGCGUAGAGAUGUGGAGGAACACCGAUGGCGAAGGCAGCCUCCUGGGCCAGCACUGACGCUCAUGCACGAAAGCGUGGGGAGCAAACAGGAUUAGAUACCCUAGUAGUCC
Molecule: ribosomal RNA, 292 nt
Filed under: uncultured Nitrosomonadaceae bacterium
Lineage: Bacteria; Pseudomonadati; Pseudomonadota; Betaproteobacteria; Nitrosomonadales; Nitrosomonadaceae
Description: partial 16S ribosomal RNA
Rfam family: Bacterial small subunit ribosomal RNA
Source: RNAcentral